This 560-nucleotide ribosomal RNA is filed under the name uncultured bacterium. Its description in RNAcentral is "bacterial SSU rRNA". It matches the Rfam family "Bacterial small subunit ribosomal RNA", at positions 42 to 597 of the family's 1533-position model. The record is from RNAcentral.
GCAUGCCUUACACAUGCAAGUCGAACGGCAGCACGGGAGCAAUCCUGGUGGCGAGUGGCGAACGGGUGAGUAAAGUAUCGGAACGUGCCCAGUCGUGGGGGAUAAUGUAGCGAAAGCUACGCUAAUACCGCAUACGAUCUAUGGAUGAAAGCGGGGGAUCGCAAGACCUCGCGCGAUUGGAGCGGCCGAUAUCAGAUUAGGUAGUUGGUGGGGUAAAGGCCUACCAAGCCGACGAUCUGUAGCUGGUCUGAGAGGACGACCAGCCACACUGGGACUGAGACACGGCCCAGACUCCUACGGGAGGCAGCAGUGGGGAAUUUUGGACAAUGGGCGCAAGCCUGAUCCAGCAAUGCCGCGUGCAGGAUGAAGGCCUUCGGGUUGUAAACUGCUUUUGUACGGAGCGAAAAGGCUUCCACUAAUACUGGGGGCUCAUGACGGUACCGUAAGAAUAAGCACCGGCUAACUACGUGCCAGCAGCCGCGGUAAUACGUAGGGUGCAAGCGUUAAUCGGAAUUACUGGGCGUUAAACGUGCGCAGGCGGUCUUGUAAGACAGGUGUGA